Molecule: ribosomal RNA, 484 nt
Filed under: uncultured bacterium
Lineage: Bacteria
Description: partial 16S ribosomal RNA
Rfam family: Bacterial small subunit ribosomal RNA
Source: RNAcentral
AUUGAACGCUGGCGGCAGGCCUAACACAUGCAAGUCGAGCGGAUGAAGGGAGCUUGCUCCUGGAUUCAGCGGCGGACGGGUGAGUAAUGCCUAGGAAUCUGCCUGGUAGUGGGGGAUAACGUCCGGAAACGGGCGCUAAUACCGCAUACGUCCUGAGGGAGAAAGUGGGGGAUCUUCGGACCUCACGCUCUCAGAUGAGCCUAGGUCGGAUUAGCUAGUUGGUGGGGUAAAGGCCUACCAAGGCGACGAUCCGUAACUGGUCUGAGAGGAUGAUCAGUCACACUGGAACUGAGACACGGUCCAGACUCCUACGGGAGGCAGCAGUGGGGAAUAUUGGACAAUGGGCGAAAGCCUGAUCCAACCGUGCCGCGUGUGUGAAGAAGGUCUUCGGAUUGUAAAGCACUUUAAGUUGGGAGGAAGGGCAGUAAGUUAAUACCUUGCUGUUUUGACGUUACCAACAGAAUAAGCACCGGCUAACUUCGUG